GGUUUUAUAGUCAACUAUGAUUUUAAAUUGCAAAUUUAAAGGUAAAGCGUGUCUUUUAAAGCCU
RNAcentral lists this transfer RNA (64 nucleotides) under Olethrius laevipennis. Its description in RNAcentral is "tRNA-Cys". The record is from RNAcentral. Lineage: Eukaryota; Metazoa; Arthropoda; Insecta; Coleoptera; Cerambycidae.